Molecule: ribosomal RNA, 253 nt
Filed under: uncultured bacterium
Lineage: Bacteria
Description: partial 16S ribosomal RNA
Rfam family: Bacterial small subunit ribosomal RNA
Source: RNAcentral
UACGUAGGGGGCUAGCGUUGUCCGGAAUCAUUGGGCGUAAAGCGCGUGUAGGCGGCCCGGUAAGUCCGCUGUGAAAGUCGGGGGCUCAACCCUCGAAUGCCGGUGGAUACUGUCGGGCUAGAGUACGGAAGAGGCGAGUGGAAUUCCUGGUGUAGCGGUGAAAUGCGCAGAUAUCAGGAGGAACACCCAUUGCGAAGGCAGCUCGCUGGGACGUUCCUGACGCUGAGACGCGAAAGCUAGGGGAGCGAACAGG